ACGGAAAAUAGAACCUACGUUGAAAUAUUGGGGGCUGGUUUCCUCUAUACAAGAGGAGUCAUGAAUAUUUAUGAAAGGAGAAAUCGCACAUGCACAGCAAGGCAAUUUACUUCUAUAGAAGGGUGCGCCCUCACAGAUGGAGCAAUGGUGAGUGCACACCUGGACAAGGGAGGGGAAGGAGUUCUUAUUCUUGACACCCGUGGCCCCUGCUGCUGUGUCGUUUCCCUAUUGGCUAGGGUUAGACUGCACAGGCUAAACUAAUUCUGAUUGGCUAAUUUAAAGAGAGUGAUGGGGUGAGUGGUUUGGCAGGAAAAAUGGUUAUAGCAGAGCACGAAAUUGGAAUGAGUCAGGGUGGAGCAGGUAAUCGGAAUGACUCGGGGUGGAGCAGAUGAUUGAAAAAGGUUGCUUUAUGAGGAAGUUAAGUUUAAAAGUAGAGGGCAAAGAAUUGAGCACACUGACAUAUUGAUUCUUUGAAGAGAAAUUUAGAAUUCAUAUCUAACAGGACCAAACACCUACUGAAUUCUCAACAAAAUAGAAAAUAGAAGACCUUCACCAAGACACGUUAUCAUAAUACUUCCCAUUUUUGGAGCAAAUAAAAUAAAAAUUUAAACACAGUUCAGAGAGAAAAGAAUCAAGAAUGAAAAUGGCACCGGAGUUUGUCAACCCAAGUCUGAGAAGUAGGUGGUGCCAGAGAAAUGCUUUCUAGAUCCUGAGGGCAGAUAUUUUCAAUCUGGUAUUCCAUACCCAGGAAAACUAAUAUUUGACUUGAAUGUACCUCAGAAUUUGUAGACUUGCAAGGUCUAAGACAUUUAUAUCACAUGAUUCUAUUCUUUGGAGGUGACUGGAACAAACU
This 853-nucleotide long non-coding RNA is filed under the name Homo sapiens (human). RNAcentral describes it as "HSALNT0139903". Lineage: Eukaryota; Metazoa; Chordata; Mammalia; Primates; Hominidae. The record is from RNAcentral.